GAUGAACGCUGGCGGCGUGCUUAACACAUGCAAGUCGAACGGAAAGGCCCUGCUUUUGUGGGGUGCUCGAGUGGCGAACGGGUGAGUAACAUGAGAGUAAUCUGCCCUUGACUUUGGGAUAACUUCAGGAAACUGGGGCUUAUAUCGGAUAGGAGCUACUGCUGAAUGGUGGGGUUUGGAAAGUUUAGGCGGUUGGGGAUGGCUUCGCGGCUCAUCAGCUUGUUGGUGGGGUAGAGGCUUACCAAGGCUUUGACGGGUAGCCGGCCUGAGAGGGUGACCGGCCACAAUGGGACUGAGAUACGGCCCAUACUCCUACAGGAGGCAGCAGUGGAGAAUAUUGCGCAAGGGGAGCAAGCCUGAUGCAGCAACGCCGCGUGCGGGAUGACGACCUUCGGGUUGUAAACCGCUUUCGCCUUUGACAAAAAGGGAAUGACGGUAAUGGGUAAAGAAGCGCCGGCUAACUACGUG
This 468-nucleotide ribosomal RNA is filed under the name uncultured bacterium. Its description in RNAcentral is "partial 16S ribosomal RNA". It matches the Rfam family "Bacterial small subunit ribosomal RNA", at positions 28 to 507 of the family's 1533-position model. The record is from RNAcentral.